UUUUAUAUUAAAUAUUUCUCCUUCUGUAGUUCUGUAAUUUUCGCGUUUCAUCACUCACUCCUUUUUUCUCUACUUUCGUCUUCUUCCUUAAUUCUCUUCCUUCAUUUUCUUCAACAUUGAUGGUAGGCAUUUCUUCAUUGGAAGGAAGGAGAACGUGAUGCACCACUUUAGGAACCCUAAAAUCAAGCUCAUUCGUUAUGAAAACGUCAUCGAGCUUCUCCUUGUGGAGAUGAAUCAGAUCAACCAUUUAGAGGUCGUGAGAGGUGAUGAAGCUGCUUGCAUAAUGGGGAAGGAAUAGAGGUUGUUGUUCGAGGAGAAAAACCUCAUGUUCCAGCCGCUGGACUUGACCGGUCUGAUGCACACAUUGAUGGUGUUGUACGAUCUGGUGUGGAUCCUGUAGGAGGUCGACAGAGUCUUGCCAAGUCUUACCUCAGAACAAUCCACUUUAACUUUUCUCAGCGAAUGUUGAAUUUUUGGAAUGCUAAGCACAAACUUGAGUCUCAAACUUCAUGCUUUGAGGAUAAAUUUGGAGAUAGAGAUAUUCAUGACAGUUCAGAUGUAGCUGCUUUGUAUCUACAAGUCAAUAUAGUUAGCCGAUAUUUGUAACCCGUUCACGCAGUUGGUCCUCUCUUGAACGCCCUGGAUUGUUGUUAGUAAGCACUUUCGUUAUUUGCUUAGCUGGUAAGGAUGAUGAUCUUCUAUCAUAUCUGCUAGAAUUGGAUUUGUGAAACUGAAAAGUGAUCAACUUAGAGUGUUUCUUCAUUAUUAAAAUUAUGAGAGAAGGUCGGUGAUUGUGAUGCAUUAUUUUAAUUCAAUUUUUUAUUUUUGGGAAAGAAGUGACAUUUGUUUGGAGAGUGAUAAUUUUAAAAUGUUUAUUUUUGUUUGGUUGGACUCAAUAUUGUCCUGUUCUAACAUCAUGUUGAUUUUUGCAGAUGUGGUAAGAACAUUAUAGAUUUAUCAUUGUCUAUGAAUUUGUAUAAAUAUUUAGAUAUAUAUCUUACAUUUCUGACACUUGAGAUUAUCGAGCUCUAGAAAUGAGAAAAAGCUAGAUCAUGUGCUUUUGAGUCCUAGAUGUCUUCAUACCAUAUAGUGUGCAUAUAUGUACUUAGAUUCAACUUCUUCAAUUUCCUAGGUGGUUUGUUGUGUUUCUGCGAUGAGAAGGUUUUCUACAACUAAUCAGGGAUGUGUUGUUGAAGCUAGAAUGAUGAUUCGUGAGUAUAUACCAUUAUGUUCAUGCAUUUUCAAUGUAAUGAUUUUACAUAGUUAACCAAUUAGAAAUCUGUGACUUUUAAAGUAGUUAUUACAAAGUUCAACUAUUUUAUCUUAAUUUAAUGUGAUUAGAUGACAAUAUAAAUUUCUUUUACACUAUCAGUUUAUUUAAAUUUAAUUCAGUUAUUUACUUACGUAUAAAAAUAUUCUUUUAUAUAAAAAUGUAAUGGACCUAGCUGUUUAUACCCAUCAACUAUGAUGGAUAAAGUCACCAGCAGAGCUUAAGCUGGUGAAGGAAUUUGCAUCCAUUGCUUGUCAGACAUGCCCUUUUGAAGGUACACUUGCAGCAAAGGUUGAAUAUGAAUGCAAAAUUAGAGGUGCCCAAUGGAUGGGGUGAGGAGUUUUUUAUAUAUUAAUACUUCAUCUAUUGUUGUUCAUAAUUUAAGAAGCUUCCAACAAAUAAAUAAAAGUAAAGAAGUCGUUAAUAGAAAAGAAAUUCAAGUUUAAGGAUCACUUUCAUCCAUAACUAAUGAUAUAGCCUUUCUUUUUUUUUCUCUGUAUCAGAUUCAAUCUUGUUGUUGGUGGUGGACUUAAUGGAAGCAUUAUACAUUAUUCUAGGAAUGAUCAAAGAGUAAAUUCAUUUAACAAUAAACAUUCUUGUAUAUAGCAAGUCUAUAUUCAUCUUAUAUUAGAAAAAAAUUCAAGUUUUUAAUAUAUCUGCAGACUACUUUUUCAAUAAAUAAUUAAUAUAUUUCUCAUGAUUAAAUUGUAAAUUUUGGGAAAGGGAAUUAUCAUAUUACAUAAAUGCUAUAAGUUUUAGGUUGUUAUUAUGUUGUUUCUAGAUAUAUGUAUGCAUGAGAAAAAGAUUUGGUUAAUGAUGAAGUCAAUAAUUUUGUUUUAGUAGCUUAUUGAUAUUUCUUAUGCUUUUUGUUUUGGUGUCUCUUUUAGGAAAAUUUCCAAUAGUAGCUAACUGAUAUGAAGGCUAGGAACUAGUUUGUGGUUUGCCCUAGUUCAUGUUGAGGUUUUUGUGGAAUGAGGCAAGGCAUUUGAAGUUUGAUCCUGUUUAUAAGCAUGUUGGGAGUAAACAUUUUGUGCUCAAAACGCUUUACUUUCUUCCUUAUAUAAGCCUUAGAUAAGUUUAUUUCUUCUCUUCCUUCAAUUUUAGGGAAAACAUAAAUAAUAGUGCAGAGCACAUACUAAAUUUAUAAAUAGGUUUCACUUAUUAUGGGUCCUAUUUUGUAUGAUAUGAUAUUUACAGUACAAUUAUUUGUGCACUGUACAAGAUAUAUCACCUGGAGUUUUUCGAUGGUUAGUUAACAAUAAUCUUCACUCUAUUCAUGAUGUAUAUGAAACAUUAUGCUUUAGGAUUUCUAAUUUAUUCUUUCCAUGUCAAGGUUACUUUGAAAGAUUAGGAAAGGAGAGUUAGUAACAUAAACAAAUAAGAUUUGCACAUGAAUGUUGUGUAGUGAAUGAAUCAGAUGAUGUGGCGAUUGUAAUAGUAUAGGACCUGGAAUGGAUAGAGUAGACUUGUUAGAACCAAUUUUGUUCCUUUCUGCUAAAGCACAAUUAGUUAUGCUGACAUUUACCUUAUUACAACAAGGAAGAGCAUUGAAUGUAUAUUUUGUGUAUAUUUUACGGUUGCAAACCAUAUCCUAGGUUUUCAAUCACAAACUAUUGUACUUUUCUCUGUAUG
Molecule: long non-coding RNA, 2902 nt
Organism: Vigna unguiculata (cowpea)
Lineage: Eukaryota; Viridiplantae; Streptophyta; Magnoliopsida; Fabales; Fabaceae
Source: RefSeq, a predicted model, not a curated record